RNAcentral lists this ribosomal RNA (497 nucleotides) under uncultured bacterium. RNAcentral describes it as "partial 16S ribosomal RNA". It matches the Rfam family "Bacterial small subunit ribosomal RNA", at positions 28 to 507 of the family's 1533-position model. The record is from RNAcentral.
GAUGAACGCUGGCGGCGUGCCUAAUACAUGCAAGUCGAGCGAACGGACGAGAAGCUUGCUUCUCUGAUGUUAGCGGCGGACGGGUGAGUAACACGUGGAUAACCUACCUAUAAGACUGGGAUAACUUCGGGAAACCGGAGCUAAUACCGGAUAAUAUUUUGCACCGCAUGGUUCAAAAGUGAAAGACGGUCUUGCUGUCACUUAUAGAUGGAUCCGCGCUGCAUUAGCUAGUUGGUAAGGUAACGGCUUACCAAGGCAACGAUGCAUAGCCGACCUGAGAGGGUGAUCGGCCACACGGGAACGGAGACACGGUCCAGACUCCUGCGGGAGGCAGCAGUAGGGAAUCUUCCGCAGUGGGCGAAAGCCUGACGGAGCAGGGCCGCGUGAGUGAUGAAAGUCUUCGGAGCGUAAAACUCUGCUAUUAGGGAAGAACAGAUGUGUAAGUAACUGUGCACAUCUUGACGGUACCUAAUCAGAAAGCCACGGCUAACUACGUG